This is a long non-coding RNA of Hemiscyllium ocellatum (epaulette shark), 540 nucleotides long. RefSeq lists it as uncharacterized. The transcript has 3 exons. The record is from RefSeq and is a predicted model, not a curated record. NCBI's taxonomy places the organism in Eukaryota, Metazoa, Chordata, Chondrichthyes, Orectolobiformes, Hemiscylliidae.
AGAUUUAUUUCCAGUCUCUGGGUGUUGUCGAACGAAGCGGGAAGAAAGGGCCGAGGGGGCGGUGCAGCUCAAGAGGGCAAGAAGAGCAAUCCAUAUCUCUGUGGGUCUGGAGUCACAUGUAGGCCAGACCAGGUACUGUGUUGAAUCCAGCGGUAGUACAAUUUCCAACAGUUCAAAGUGUCAGAGAGGGUCAGACAGUGAGAAUGACAGUGCACCAUCAAGAACAGCAAACUGCACAAAGUGAUCAGUCAUUGGUAACAACAGUGCCUCAGGAAAAGAAAAGACAAGAUGAUGACUCAUUCCAGAAAUAAUUCACAGGAAACUCCUCCAGCUUUUCUGCUUUAUUUCAACAUUCUAAAGAGCCCUCCUAGAAUAGCUUCAUUCUGACCAUUACAAGCGUACAGCCCAGUGACACUUCUGUCUCUACUUGCAAUGUGUGGGGCUAUACCCAUUCAAUUACUGUCCCUCAUUGUAAUAUAUCAGACCAUAAGAUAUAAGGAGCAGAGUUUGGCCCAUCGAGCUUGCUCUGUAAUCCAAUCA